GAACAAGAAAGUUAUUAAGAGCGUAUGGCGGAUGCCUAGGCUCUCAGAGGCGAUGAAGGACGUGAUAAGCUGCGAAAAGUUGU
This 83-nucleotide ribosomal RNA is filed under the name Prolixibacteraceae bacterium JC049. Its description in RNAcentral is "partial 23S ribosomal RNA". Lineage: Bacteria; Pseudomonadati; Bacteroidota; Bacteroidia; Marinilabiliales; Prolixibacteraceae. The record is from RNAcentral.